UCUGAUCGAGAUAGCCGUCAGUGUAUAUACUACGGCAAAUCUGGUCAUAUUGUUGACACAUGUUGGGCCAAGCAUGGCAAGCCUGAGUGGGCUCAGCGAUUAGUUACUGCAAAUGCUGCUAUGUCUGAAGGGAGUGCUGGAAAUGUGUCUUACGGCGACACGAAUCCAUCUAUCCCAAGUGGGGGUAGUUCUUCUGAGUCCGCGUCUCGGGAAGAUAUGGUCGCACAACUCAUCAAGCGUGUCCAACAACUGGAGGCUUCCAAUUUCUCAUCCACUGCCACUCUUGCACGUACAGGACCUUCAAACAAAGAAGAAGAUUGGUGGAGGGCAUGAACAUGAUGGACUCUAUUAUCUGGAUGGUGUCUCCACUGCUGACGCCAAUGGUCUAGCUGCUAGUCCUAUUACCCCCCCUAUUAUGGCAUUCCCGUUUAGGGCAUUUAUCUUUAUUUAAGUUACAGCAAAUAAUUCCCGAGUGUAAAUCAAUUUCUACUCGAGUGUGAGGCUUGUGAACUUGGGAAACAUCAUCGUAGUUCUUUUCCUAGUCGUAGUGAUUCUCGUGCAUCUACUUUAUUAGAACUUGUUCAUUCGGACAUCUGGGGACCUUCCCGUGUUGCUAAUAGAAAUGGUUUUAAGUACUU
Molecule: long non-coding RNA, 638 nt
Organism: Syzygium oleosum
Lineage: Eukaryota; Viridiplantae; Streptophyta; Magnoliopsida; Myrtales; Myrtaceae
Exons: 2
Source: RefSeq, a predicted model, not a curated record